CUUGAUCCUUCGGGUGAUGGUGGCGGACGGGUGAGUAACGCGUAAAGACUUGCCUUGCAGUCUGGGACAACGUCUGGAAACGGACGCUAAUACCGGAUAUUAUCGCAUGAUGAAAGCUAUAUGCGCUGCGAGAGAGCUUUGCGUCCCAUUAGUUAGUUGGUGAGGUAACGGCUCACCAAGACGAUGAUGGGUAGCCGGCCUGAGAGGGUGAACGGCCACAAGGGGACUGAGACACGGCCCUUACUCCUACGGGAGGCAGCAGUGGGGAAUAUUGGACAAUGGACCAAAGUCUGAUCCAGCAAUUCUGUGUGCACGAUGAAGUUUUUCGGAAUGUAAAGUGCUUUCAGUUGGGAAGAAGAAAGUGACGGUACCAACAGAAGAAGCGACGGCUAAAUACGUGCCAGCAGCCGCGGUAAUACGUAUGUCGCAAGCGUUAUCCGGAUUUAUUGGGCGUAAAGCGCGUCUAGGCGGUUUGGUAAGUCUGAUGUGAAAAUGCGGGGCUCAACUCCGUAUUGCGUUGGAAACUGCCAAACUAGAGUACUGGAGAGGUAGGCGGAACUACAAGUGUAGAGGUGAAAUUCGUAGAUAUUUGUAGGAAUGCCGAUGGGGAAGCCAGCCUACUGGACAGAUACUGACGCUAAAGCGCGAAAGCGUGGGUAGCAAACAGGAUUAGAUACCCGGUGUCCACGCCGUANACGAUGAUUACUAGGUGUUGGGGGUNGAACCUCAGCGCCCAAGCUAACGCGAUAAGUA
This 753-nucleotide ribosomal RNA is filed under the name uncultured bacterium. RNAcentral's name for it is "bacterial SSU rRNA". It matches the Rfam family "Bacterial small subunit ribosomal RNA", at positions 74 to 866 of the family's 1533-position model. The record is from RNAcentral.